Molecule: ribosomal RNA, 460 nt
Filed under: uncultured bacterium
Lineage: Bacteria
Description: partial 16S ribosomal RNA
Rfam family: Bacterial small subunit ribosomal RNA
Source: RNAcentral
CCUACGGGUGGCAUCAUUCAUUCCUCUUUUUCCCUUUUCUCUCGCCUGCCCCCGCCACGUCGCGUGAGGGAUGACGGUCCUACGGAUUGUAAACCUCUUUUGCCGGGGAGCAAGCGUGCGUUCGUGAACGCACGUCGAGAGUACCCGGAGAAAAAGCAUCGGCUAACUCCGUGCCAGCAGCCGCGGUAAUACGGAGGAUGCGAGCGUUAUCCGGAGUUAUUGGGUUUAAAGGGUGCGUAGGCGGGAUGCCAAGUCAGCGGUAAAAAUGCGGUGCUCAACGCCGUCGAGCCGUUGAAACUGGCGUUCUUGAGUGGGCGAGAAGUAUGCGGAAUGCGUGGUGUAGCGGUGAAAUGCAUAGAUAUCACGCAGAACUCCGAUUGCGAAGGCAGCAUACCGGCGCCCUACUGACGCUGAGGCACGAAAGCGUGGGUAUCGAACAGGAUUAGAUACCCGUGUAGUC